RNAcentral lists this ribosomal RNA (370 nucleotides) under uncultured bacterium. Its description in RNAcentral is "bacterial SSU rRNA". It matches the Rfam family "Bacterial small subunit ribosomal RNA", at positions 527 to 896 of the family's 1533-position model. The record is from RNAcentral.
GUAGGGGGCAAGCGUUAUCCGGAUUUACUGGGUGUAAAGGGAGCGUAGACGGCUGUGCAAGUCUGGAGUGAAAGCCCGGGGCUCAACCCCGGGACUGCUUUGGAAACUGUACGGCUGGAGUGCUGGAGAGGCAAGCGGAAUUCCUAGUGUAGCGGUGAAAUGCGUAGAUAUUAGGAGGAACACCAGUGGCGAAGGCGGCUUGCUGGACAGUAACUGACGUUGAGGCUCGAAAGCGUGGGGAGCAAACAGGAUUAGAUACCCUGGUAGUCCACGCCGUAAGCGAUGAAUGCUAGGUGUCGGGGAGCAAAGCUCUUCGGUGCCGCCGCAAACGCAAUAAGCAUUCCACCUGGGGAGUACGUUCGCAAGAAUG